RNAcentral lists this ribosomal RNA (2958 nucleotides) under bacterium. RNAcentral's name for it is "23S ribosomal RNA". It matches the Rfam family "Bacterial large subunit ribosomal RNA". The record is from RNAcentral.
UCAAGCUAUUAAGGGCAUACGGAGAAUGCAUUGGCACAAGAAGGCGAUGAAGGACGCGGCAAGCUGCGAUAAGCUUCGGGAAGGCGCUAACGGCCGUUAAUCCGAAGAUUUCCGAAUGGGGCAACCCGUUACCGGUAAUACGGUAUCAUCUCUUGCUGAAUUCAUAGGCAAGAAGAAGCAAACCCGGGGAACUGAAAUAUCUAAGUACCUGGAGGAAUAUAAAUCAAAAGAGAUUUCCCAAGUAGUGACGAGCGAACGGGAAAUAGCCCAAACCAGGCCGACUUGUCGGCUUGGGGUUGUAGGACCCUUGUAGUGAUCUGUAAGUAGGUAAGUGAAGUUGUCUGGAAAGCAACGCCAUAGUGGGUGAUAGCCCCGUAACGUAAACCGAAAGCAGCAUGUGGGUAUCCUGAGUAGUGCGGGACACGUGAAAUCCUGUGCGAAACUGGGAGGACCAUCUUCCAAGGCUAAAUACUCUCUUGUGACCGAUAGAGGAUAGUACCGCGAGGGAAAUGUGAAAAGAACCCUUAUUAAGGGAGUGAAAUAGAACCUGAAACCGUAUGCCUACAAGCUGUCGGAGUCCCGAUUUAUCGGGAUGACGGCGUGCCUUUUGCAUAAUGAGCCAGCGAGUUACUCGUACGUUGCGUAAGGUUAAGAGGUCAACAAGCCUCGUAGCCGUAGCGAAAGCAAGUCUGAAUAGGGCGUCCCGAAAGGGGUGUAACGUGCGGUAGACGCGAAACCUUAGUGAUCUAGCCAUGGCCAGGUUGAAGUAAGGGUAAAACCUUAUGGAGGACCGAACCGGUGUAAGUUGAAAGUUGCUCGGAUGAGCUGUGGCUAGGGGUGAAAGGCUAAUCAAACUGGGAGAUAGCUCGUUCUCCUCGAAAUAUCUUUAGGGAUAGUCUCGGAUAAUAAAAAGUCGCGGGGGUAGAGCACUGAUAGGGCUAGGGCUGUCACAACGGUACCAAACCCUCUCAAACUCCGAAUACCGUUGACUUGUUCUCCGGGAAGCAGCUGGCGAGGGAUAAGCUUCGUUGGCAAAAGGGAAAGAACCCAGAUCAUCAGCUAAAGUCCCAAAGUAGAGGCUAAGUGAUAAAGGAUGUGGAACCGCAGUGACAACUAGGAUGUUUGCUUAGAAGCAGCCAUCAUCUAAAGAUCGCGUAAUAGCGCACUAGUCAAGCAGUUCCGCGCCGAUAAUACACGGGACUAAGCCUCUCACUGAAGCUGUGGAUUUACAGAUUUAUCUGUAAGUGGUAGAGGAGCAUUCCAUUAACCGUCGAAGGUUGGGCGCGAGCCCGGCUGGAGGACAUGGAAGAGAUUAUGCUGGCAUAAGUAGCGAUAAAAGGAGUGAAAAACUCCUUCACCGAAAGCCCAAGGUUUCCUGAGUAAAGUUAAUCUGCUUGGGGUUAGUCGGAGCCUAAGGCGAGGCCAAGCGGCGUAGCUGAUGGUAAUCAGGUUAAUAUUCCUGAACUGCUUUGUAUUCGUUAUCAGUCAAGGGGUGACGCAGAAGUGAAAGACGAGCCUGGAUUGGUUUCCAGGUUUAAGUGUGUAGCUAGAUCGUGUAGGCAAAUCCGCACGGUCGUUUUAACGUGAAACACGAAUAAGAAACGAGCCUUCGGGCAAGCCAAUUCGUCCUAAUCAUGCUGCCAAGAAAAACCUCUACACGAGAAUGCAAGGUAUCCGUACCGUAAACCGACACAGGUGGGCGAGGAGAAUAUCCAAAGGUGCUCGAGAUAGCGCUUGUUAAGGAACUAGGCAAAUUGACCCCGUAACUUCGGGAUAAGGGGUGCCCCGCAAGGGGCCGCAGUGAAAUGGGAUUACCGACUGUUUACCAAAAACACAGGGCUCUGCAAAGUCGUAAAGACGACGUAUAGGGUCUGACACCUGCCCGGUGCUGGAAGGUUAAGGAGAGAGGUUAGCGCAAGCGAAGCUUUGAACCGAAGCCCCAGUAAACGGCGGCCGUAACUAUAACGGUCCUAAGGUAGCGAAAUUCCUUGUCGGGUAAGUUCCGACCUGCACGAAUGGUGUAACGAGUGAUCCUGCGUCUCAACAAGCGCCUCGGCGAAAUUGUAGUGCCGGUGAAGAUGCCGGCUCCCCGCAGCGGGACGGAAAGACCCUAUGAACCUUUACUAUAACCUAGCAUUGUGUUUUGACAUUACAUGCGUAGCAUAGGUGGGAGACUUUGAAGCCUGGGUUCUGGCCUGGGCUGAGUCGCAAUGUGAAAUACCACCCUUGUGAUAUUGAAAUUCUAACUCAAGUUUCUGAAUCGAGGCUGAGGACAGUACUAGGCGGGUAGUUUGACUGGGGCGGUCGCCUCCUAAAAUGUAACGGAGGCUCCCAAAGGUUUCCUCAGCACGCUUGGUAACCGUGCGCAGAGUGCAAAGGCACAAGGAAGCUUAACUGUAAGGCAUACAAGCCGAGCAGAGACGAAAGUCGGGCUUAGUGAUCCGGUGGUUCUGCAUGGAAGGGCCAUCGCUCAAAGGAUAAAAGGUACGCUAGGGAUAACAGGCUGAUCGGGUCCAAGAGUCCACAUCGACGACCCGGUUUGGCACCUCGAUGUCGGUUCAUCGCAUCCUGGGGCUGGAGAAGGUCCCAAGGGUUUGGCUGUUCGCCAAUUAAAGCGGUACGUGAACUGGGUUCAGAACGUCGUGAGACAGUUCGGCCCCUAUCUGCUGUGGGCGUAGGAUACUUGAAGGGUUCUAUUCUUAGUACGAGAGGACCGGAAUGGACGAACCUCUAGUGCAUCUGCUGUUUUACCAAAGGCAUGGCAGAGUAGCUACGUUCGGAUGGGAUAAGUGCUGAAAGCAUCUAAGUACGAAACCCACCCUGAGAUUAGGUAUCCCUGUCGCAAGACACUUAAGACUCCACGGAGACUACGUGGUUGAUAGGUCACAGAUGUAAGCGCAGCAAUGCGUUCAGUCGAGUGAUACUAAUAAGUCGUGCGGCUUGAUUUAAUUUUAUUUU